RNAcentral lists this ribosomal RNA (301 nucleotides) under uncultured bacterium. Its description in RNAcentral is "partial 16S ribosomal RNA". It matches the Rfam family "Bacterial small subunit ribosomal RNA", at positions 509 to 807 of the family's 1533-position model. The record is from RNAcentral.
CAGUAGCCGCGGGAAUACGGAGGGUGCAAGCGUUAAUCGGAAUUACUGGGCGUAAAGCGCACGCAGGCGGUCUGACAAGUCAGAUGUGAAAUCCCCGGGCUUAACCUGGGAACUGCAUUUGAAACUGUCAGGCUGGAGUCUUGUAGAUGGGGGUGGAAUUCCAGGUGUAGCGGUGAAAUGCGUAGAGAUCUGGAGGAAUACCGGUGGCGAAGGCGGCCCCCUGGACAAAGACUGACGCUCAGGUGCGAAAGCGUGGGGAGCAAACAGGAUUAUAUACCCCGGUAGUCCCUGUCUCUUAUAC